This is a long non-coding RNA of Perca fluviatilis (European perch), 871 nucleotides long. RefSeq lists it as uncharacterized. The transcript is spliced from 5 exons. Lineage: Eukaryota; Metazoa; Chordata; Actinopteri; Perciformes; Percidae. The record is from RefSeq and is a predicted model, not a curated record.
UCUUGGACAUCAGCCACGAGGUGGAAAAGGACUGGGACCACCAGACUGUUUUAGAACGCAUCAGGGAUGGCUUUGGUGAGCACCUUCCAGACGAUGUCAGCUAUAAGAGAGGACUGGUAAUACAUUGCUGGCAAAGCCAUUGCUGUGAGCUUGGUACAUGGCGGUCCACCACCAAACUUCCUCUCUCAGACAUAGCUGACACAGAACUCUUGGAAAAGUCAAAAAGAUUCUGUGAAGGACUGAAAACUCUUUGGGUUCAGGACCAAAUACGACGACAUCCAGACAGCUUUCGACCCCUGUUCUGCUAUGAGCUGUGGAUGAUCUUUUCAGCAUUCGUCUCUCUCCAGAAGGGAGCAACAAGAGAGCUGCUGACGAGAUGGUCGUUACUUUCUGGAGGGACUAUCUCCAAAAUGCAGAGGAAGAAGAAGGGCCAUCCAAACUAGAGAAGAUAUUGGCCUUCACAACUUGAGCAUCUGACCAGUUCAUUCACAAAGGAGAUGAUGGCUUCUCUACAUCAAUGUUCCCUCUUGCCAACAGAUGUGUUAACUGCAUCAACUUGCCACUACAUGUGUCUUACCAACUGUUCAAGGAGAAGUUUGACUUUGCAUUAGGGAACACAUAUGGGUUUGGCAGGGCAUGAACAUGUCAUGCUCUGAAAACUGUUUCUGUCUGUGUCUCACUUUCUCUGUUUCAAACAAGAGUUAUUAUUUUCACUUCUGAAUGCCGUAUGCAAUAUAACUUAUGUAUUUUAUAUAGUUUCACCACGAUUCAGUUGACUCAGUCAGCCUAUGUUUUAAAACAUAUUUACAUUUUAACGGCAUGUUUCAUAUUUUUACCAAACUUUUUACCAAAUGUUAAUUUAUUUUUCAUA